This 111-nucleotide non-coding RNA is filed under the name Ornithorhynchus anatinus (platypus). The record is from RNAcentral. Lineage: Eukaryota; Metazoa; Chordata; Mammalia; Monotremata; Ornithorhynchidae.
AGGUUAGCACUCCCCUUGAGAAGGAUGGAGGAGGUUCUAGUGCCCUUUACAGAACAUAUGUGAUGUGGUUAAGCCAUUGCCAUCUACUUCGUCGUGGCAUCUACGUUUUCC